CCCACCUCAAAUGAAGGCACCAACUCAGAGUGAACCAACCCACAGCGCCCCCAGUGGGCACCAUGGGUAGCAACCCACAAACAGCACAAACAAUGGAAUGGGCAUUUACAUGCCCACCAAAUCAUUUAC
Long non-coding RNA from Xiphophorus hellerii (green swordtail), 129 nucleotides. RefSeq lists it as uncharacterized. NCBI's taxonomy places the organism in Eukaryota, Metazoa, Chordata, Actinopteri, Cyprinodontiformes, Poeciliidae. The transcript is spliced from 3 exons. The record is from RefSeq and is a predicted model, not a curated record.